UACGAAGGGGGCUAGCGUUGCUCGGAAUCACUGGGCGUAAAGGGUGCGUAGGCGGGUUUUAAGUCAGAGGUGAAAUCCUGGAGCUCAACUCCAGAACUGCCUUUGAUACUGAAAGUCUUGAGUAUGGGAGAGGUGAGUGGAACUGCGAGUGUAGAGGUGAAAUUCGUAGAUAUUCGCAAGAACACCAGUGGCGAAGGCGGCUCACUGGCCCAUAACUGACGCUGAGGCACGAAAGCGUGGGGAGCAACAGG
RNAcentral lists this ribosomal RNA (251 nucleotides) under uncultured bacterium. RNAcentral describes it as "partial 16S ribosomal RNA". It matches the Rfam family "Bacterial small subunit ribosomal RNA", at positions 524 to 775 of the family's 1533-position model. The record is from RNAcentral.